AGCAAUACGGGAGUGGCGCACGGGUGAGUAACACGUGGGAAUAUGCCCAGCAGUGGGGGAUAACCGAGGGAAACUUCGGCUAAUACCGCAUACGCCCCUAGGGGGAAAGAUUUAUCGCUGUUGGAUUAGCCCGCGUCCGAUUAGCUAGUUGGUGUGGUAACGGCGCACCAAGGCGACGAUCGGUAGCUGGUCUGAGAGGAUGAUCAGCCACACUGGGACUGAGACACGGCCCAGACUCCUACGGGAGGCAGCAGUGGGGAAUAUUGGACAAUGGGAGCAACCCUGAUCCAGCCAUGCCGCGUGAGUGAAGAAGGCCUUAGGGUUGUAAAGCUCUUUCGGCGGGGACGAUGAUGACGGUACCCGCAGAAGAAGCCCCGGCUAACUCCGUGCCAGCAGCCGCGGUAAUACGGAGGGGGCUAGCGUUGUUCGGAAUUACUGGGCGUAAAGCGCGCGCAGGCGGCUAUUCUAG
RNAcentral lists this ribosomal RNA (469 nucleotides) under uncultured Magnetospirillum sp. RNAcentral describes it as "bacterial SSU rRNA". It matches the Rfam family "Bacterial small subunit ribosomal RNA", at positions 83 to 587 of the family's 1533-position model. Lineage: Bacteria; Pseudomonadati; Pseudomonadota; Alphaproteobacteria; Rhodospirillales; Rhodospirillaceae. The record is from RNAcentral.